Dermacentor silvarum is the source of this 769-nucleotide long non-coding RNA. RefSeq lists it as uncharacterized. Lineage: Eukaryota; Metazoa; Arthropoda; Arachnida; Ixodida; Ixodidae. The transcript has 4 exons. The record is from RefSeq and is a predicted model, not a curated record.
GAACAAACGAAAGAACACCGUGGAAGCUCUGGCUAGUCGGUACAUACUCGACGCGAGAGCAGCGCGAAAAGACGAAGGACAAGAUGAUGAGUCCGCACUCCGUCUUUGGCCUUCUUAACGGAGGCAGAACCGCAAGAUCUUAACCGCAAUAAUUCUGGGGAAAUAUAAUCGGCGUCGCAGCUGCUGCGCUCGAUCAUUCCUGACAAUCGCCUUUCCCAAAAGCGGGCAGUGCUCGCUUUCUGCGCGCAGGAAAAACAAGCACUUCAGGACCAGUCCAGCUGUUCACGCCUAUUUCGCGGAGGAGAAUAUCAAAUAUAUUUCGCAUUGGCUGCACCACUAGAAGGACGAACAUUCCGUGUCCAGACACAGAGUGCGGUUUUAUUACACCAGACUGUGCUACACUGCACCAUGCCAUCGUUUAUUCUUCUAGCCACGAUCAUCAUAAUUGUUUUUCCAGCCUAUAACCAAAGCUCUCCGUGUUCUACUCAGGGCUUUAAGUGCGUGCCGGUGGGAAGUUGCCCGCGAAUAGGAAAAAGGAGUAUCAGCGGAUGUGGACAUGGCAUGGAGUGCUGCGCCCCAGUGCAGAGACCUUGUAACAUGGCACCAGGAGGAACUUGCCUGAAGAAAUGUAAGUGUUCUAAGGAAUACACCAAUUAUGCGUGCCCUCCCAAAUUGAAGUGCUGUUCGUCCAAGAAGUAGCAAGAGUCAAGCAAGAGCCUUUUUACAAUCGGCGACAAUAUGUGAUAAAAAUAAACUGUAUUUGCAUUGA